RNAcentral lists this unclassified non-coding RNA (147 nucleotides) under soil metagenome. RNAcentral's name for it is "partial internal transcribed spacer 1". The record is from RNAcentral.
CCGAGUUUACAACUCCCAAACCCCUGUGAACAUACCUAUAUGUUGCCUCGGCGGAUCAGCCCGCGCCCCGUAAAACGGGACGGCCCGCCGCAGGAUCCACAAACUCUGUUUUUAUUUGUAAUCUUCUGAGUUUAACAAAAUAAAUAA